GGUUAAGCGACUAAGCGUACACGGUGGAUGCCCUGGCAGUCAGAGGCGAUGAAGGACGUGCUAAUCUGCGAUAAGCGCC
RNAcentral lists this ribosomal RNA (79 nucleotides) under Salmonella enterica subsp. enterica serovar Derby. Its description in RNAcentral is "partial 23S ribosomal RNA". It matches the Rfam family "Bacterial large subunit ribosomal RNA", at positions 1 to 79 of the family's 2925-position model. RNAcentral also lists the same sequence under 5 other names. Lineage: Bacteria; Pseudomonadati; Pseudomonadota; Gammaproteobacteria; Enterobacterales; Enterobacteriaceae. The record is from RNAcentral.